CCCACUGAGUCACUUCUUCCUGCCUUUCUCCGAGGAGCUCAAGUUCUGUGGUGUCUAUGGCUCUCCUACAGUUUAUCUUCACAGCAACUCUGCCAGGGCUGCUCCUCGGUGUCUUCGUGGCUGGAGGAGGCCGGAGAGGUCACCCAGGGGGACAAGACCCUCUCCUCACCGCCAGAGAGUCCCCGGCCCUGGGAGACAGGAGCUGAGCGGCAUCUGGAGGCGCAGGUGAUGCGGCUGCAGGCGUCCAGCAACGUGGCUUUGGGCCGCCUCUCUGCCCUGGAGUCAGGAGUCCGGUACCUGAGCCAGGAGCUGCGGGCUGAGAGGCUCUUGUGGAGCAGCCGCUACCUGGAGCUCCUGCGAGAGCAGCAAGGCCUGGCUGUGCAGUGGGACCUGGACCCAAGUGGGCUGCAAAAGAAUGACUAGCUCCAUGACGUUGCAGAGAACCAUGCCAUUGUUUGGGGAGAACAUUUCGAACGCGUCUCUCCUCUCUCAAAGUCUGGACUAAGACCAGUGGACCAAUCCAAUGAAUAAAGAAAGAGCACUGCACCAAGGUGGACCCAGACUCAAAGCAGGAGGUUCCGCGAUGGUUGUCCGUCCAUGCGCCAGGUGAGGUCCAGGCUGCAACAAACAGGACAGGGCCCAGGGGGAGCCAAAGGCACAUAGAGGAGCAUCAAACUUCACCCGGAAGGCAGAGUGGAACAAAAUUGCAAAUCUGAGUCCUGACAGAUUAGAGCAGGGGUCCCCAAACUAAGGCUCGGGGGCCGGAUGCGGCCCUCCAAGGUCAUUUACCUGGCCCCUGCCCUCAUUUAUAAUAUAAUAUUUUAUAUCAGUUUUAAUAAUAUAAUGUAUUGUAUAUACAUAUGAUAUUGAUAAUAUUAUCAUUUUAUACAGUAUAAUACUAAUAAUAAUACCAUAUAAUAAUAUUAAUUAUAUGUUAUAUAUUACAUAUAAUAUUACAGUAUAGUGGUAUAGUUCAAUAUAGUAAUAUAUAAUGCUAAUAUUGUGCUAUGCUAAUAAUAUAAUAUAUUGUAUGCACAUACAGCUGCUCUGAGUUCUCUUUGGGGUGAGAAGGGUGGGAUAUAAAUGUAGUAAAUGAAUAAAUAAAUAAUUUUGGACUUAGGCUCGCCCAAAGUCUGAAUUGACUUGAAGACACACAACAACAACAAUCCCAAUUAACUUGACUAUCUCAAUGGCCAGAAGGAGGCCCACACUUCCUAUUGAAAUCCUGAUAGGUUUAUGUUGGUUAAAAUUAUUUUCAUUUUUAAAUAUUUUAUUGGUCUUUCAUUGUUAUUGUUGUUGUUUUGGACUACAAAUAAGAUAUGUGCAGUGUGCAUAGGAAUUUGUUCAUUUUUUUUUUCAAAUGAUAAUUCGGCCUCUCAACAGUCUGAAGGAUUGUGGACCGGCCCUCUGCUUUAAAAGUUUGAGAUUAGAGAGCUGAUUGUCCUGGAAACUUGGGACUCAAUGGAGCAAUGGGUUCAACUUCCAGGAAAGGACACCCACCUGAGCUUUAAGAAGAACUUCCUGACUGCAAGAAGAAUGGUUCAGCAGUGGAACUCUCUGCCUUGGAAUGUAGUGGAGGCUUUUAAACAGAGGUUGGAUGGCCAUCUGUCGGGGGUGCUUUGAUUGUGCUUUUCCUGCAUGGCAGAAAGGGAUGGGACUAGUGGCUCAUGCUGUCUCUUCCAACUGUGAUUCCAUGACUGGAGGAAAUGUUCCCACUAUCCCAGAGUAUUCCCAUAGCUAUCCAGGCAACAGGAAAUAAAGGACAACCAAACUACGGCAGGUCUCCAGCCGUGCUUUGGACAAGCCAUUUUGGGU
This is a long non-coding RNA of Anolis carolinensis (green anole), 1815 nucleotides long. Lineage: Eukaryota; Metazoa; Chordata; Lepidosauria; Squamata; Anolidae. The record is from Ensembl.